GCUGGGCACAGUGGUGCAUGCCUGUAGUCCCAGCUAUUUGGAGGCUGAAACAGGAGGAUGGCUGGAGUCCAGGAGUUUGAGACCAGCCUGGGAAAUGUAGUAAGACCACAUCUCAA
RNAcentral lists this small RNA (116 nucleotides) under Marmota monax (woodchuck). Lineage: Eukaryota; Metazoa; Chordata; Mammalia; Rodentia; Sciuridae. The record is from RNAcentral.